AUCACUUCUGCCACAUUCUAUUCAUGUGAAGCCAGUCACUUAGUUCAGCCCACAUUCAAGGGGAGGGGAAUUAGAUCCAUCUUUUGAAAGAAGUGAUAAAGAGCUUGAAAACAUAUUUUAGAACCACCACCACAACUUAAGUAGCACAAGAGGCAAAGUGCAGGGUCAAAGCUAAGUGUCUGAAGAAGCAAAGUUUCAGUUCAAAUUACUAGCUGUGUGAGCUUGGGGAAAUCACUCUCUGAGACUCGGUUUCCCCAGCUAUACCACGAGCAGGUUGCAGCUGUUGGUCCCCGGUGAUUUUUACACGCUUGGCAUCUUCCUGCCUAUGUGAACAUAAGAAGAUCCCCUCUUAACCAGCUUUCUUAAAGUCCUGUGACUUCCCAUCACUGAUCACCCCUGAUUUCUGACCCUGGAGGCAGCAACAGGCUGCUACUGAAGCUCCAGGGACCUAGGAAGUUCAGACACCUAGGACUUUAAGGAACAGACAAGAAACCACUGAGGACCUGGGGAUUCUCCAAGGCUUCUCUGACCCAGCCCAGGUGUGGAAACUUCAGCUUGUCAGACAAAGGGAAGUUGAGAAACGCAGCAAUCACAGAUCUAAGGAAUCUGAGUCUGCCGGCCAGGGCCCAGGAAUCUGCAUCUACUCCACCAGGCUGUUAUUCCCACUAACUCCCGGUGGCAGAGUGGGAGGAGUCUUAAAGCACACAGGCUGUGUCUCGUUUUAGUGGUUCUUCGCUUCUGCUCCCCCUGUUCGCAGCUUUCCCGCGUUUCUGCUCUGUGGAGGGAGAGGAGGAUAACCUCCUUUAAGGAGUUCCUGUGCCAGGAGGACUCUGCGCUUACCCAGUGAGACAACCUAGGCUGAUGGAUGGGGGAAACUGAGGCUCACAAAGGGAAGUGAUCUGUUAGAUGUCCCACAGGAAAACAGACGCUGAAUCCGGUCUAGAAUCCCGGUCUUCCAGGUCAGUGCUCUCACUUCUACACCAGGACCCCUGCUAGGUACUCCCCUUAGGAAAUUCCCGACCGCGGGCCUUCCGAGACCGGAAUCUCCGUGGAGUUUGCGCUCUGGGUGGCACGUCGUAAACUUCCUCCGCAGCUCCGCACCGGCUGCGGGGCGCGCUGAGAGAGGGGUAAGCGGGGAGCGAAAGCCCACUCGCAUCCUAGAGAUAACUUGGGGCGGAGGGAUGGCCUCGGGAGGCGGAC
RNAcentral lists this long non-coding RNA (1200 nucleotides) under Equus caballus (horse). RNAcentral describes it as "lncRNA (ENSECAG00000055044.1)". Lineage: Eukaryota; Metazoa; Chordata; Mammalia; Perissodactyla; Equidae. The record is from RNAcentral.